CUGCCCUCCAUGUAAGAUGCAACUUGCUCCUCUUUGCCUUCCAACCACAAUUGUGAGGCCUCCCCAGCCACAUGGAACUGGUCUGUCACCCAGGCUGAAGUACAGUGGCUACCUCCUGGCUCAAGUGAUCCUGCUGGGCUCAAGCGAUCCUCUUGCCUCAGCCUCUCAAGUAGCUGGCAUUCAGCCACCAUGUUCAGCUAAUUUAAAAUAUUUUUUGUGUGUGUGGAGAUGAGGUCUCACCACCAUGUUGCCCAGGCUGGUCUGGAACUGCUGGGCUCCAGCUAUCCUCCUGCCUGAACCUCCCAAAGUGCUGGGAUUAUAGGCAUGAGCCACCAUGCCUGGCCUUGACCCAUGGAUUUCUAUGUACUCUCUUACCCACUCCCUCAUCACCUACAAUCAAGUCACCUCUUGCCAGUCUUUGGAAGCCGAGAAGACUUUUAGAGUUGACUCUGUUUUCCUCUCAUUUUACUGGCCAAGAAGUGAAGGCCCAGAGACUGCCUAAGAUAACCCCAAGGGCUGGAAGUGGAUUCAUGAACCCCCACCCAAGUCUAUUAACCCCAGGGCUUUUGACACUAGCAGAGGGAAAGGCUUCUACCCAGAUUAAUGACAGGGGCUAUUCAAAGAUUCUUGACCAGUGUCCAAAAGAAAAAAAUAUUUAAAUUAGCAUCCACUAUGGGCUGGAUUCUAUGCUGAGCACUAGAGUCACAGGUGGUGCACCCACUGUGAGACACAAAUACACAAACAGACAAACACAAUACAGUGUUAAAGGAGCUGUAAUAGCCAAAACGUCUGAGUGUCUAUUAUGUUCUGGGCACUGUUCUAUAGCCUUCACAAACAGUUAUUCUAAGGGCAGAGGUAAGCUCAUGGCCCUAUGGAAGCUCUGAGUUCCACUGACACAGUGGGAAAUUGGGCUUCGACUCCCAGACAUCCGGCCUAGGCUAGCGAAGUCUCUGCCUCACCUCCCCAGCAGGCCCUGGGACCCCAGUGACAUGGCCUGAGCCCUGGAUCCUAAGACCUCCUCUCACUUUUGUGUCACUGGGACUUCUGUGCCCCAGCCUGAAGUCCUCUUGCCUGUCUGCAGGCUACAGUCUGUUAGAGAAAAAGUCCAGGCCAGAUGAGGAAAUGGGGCUCUGUCUUUGGGAUGGGAGGAGAGGGACUGCGGAGGUGAUGGCCCACAGGUGGGGAGGAAUGACUUGAGUUCUGUGCUCGGAAGUCAGGGCAGCUCUGCAAGAUUUUUUCCUGGCCAGUUUUGGAUUUCCAAAACCAGAGAGAGAUUCAUUGUGUUUGCCUUGAGAAAGGAAAUCCCCCAAACAGGACGAUGGGGGAGGAAUUUCUGAGGGCAGAGAGUUUCUAGAACUGAGAAGGGAGGGUUUAGGGAGGCCAGGACAGAAUCAUUGCACAACCCUGCUCUCCCUGGGAAAAACCCUCAGUCCUUCCUGCCUUGAGCCAGAGGCCACGGGCUCCAUCUGCUGAGAGCUUGUAGAGACACACAUCAAACAAGUCCCAAACUGCUGACCUCUACUUCUACCUUUGCUGAACUCCCUAAAAUCCGAUACAGGAGCAGAGGUUUGGGGCCUGGGAGCCUGGGGCAGGAAAGAGCCAAGGGCAAAGAAGUA
RNAcentral lists this long non-coding RNA (1616 nucleotides) under Homo sapiens (human). RNAcentral's name for it is "HSALNT0296923". The record is from RNAcentral. Lineage: Eukaryota; Metazoa; Chordata; Mammalia; Primates; Hominidae.